RNAcentral lists this ribosomal RNA (460 nucleotides) under uncultured bacterium. Its description in RNAcentral is "partial 16S ribosomal RNA". It matches the Rfam family "Bacterial small subunit ribosomal RNA", at positions 338 to 795 of the family's 1533-position model. The record is from RNAcentral.
CCUACGGGAGGCAGCAGUGAGGAAUAUUGGUCAAUGGACGAGAGUCUGAACCAGCCAAGUAGCGUGAAGGAUGACUGCCCUAUGGGUUGUAAACUUCUUUUAUAUGGGAAUAAAAUGUUCCACGUGUGGGAUUUUGUAUGUACCAUAUGAAUAAGGAUCGGCUAACUCCGUGCCAGCAGCCGCGGUAAUACGGAGGGUCCGAGCGUUAUCCGGAUUUAUUGGGUUUAAAGGGAGCGUAGGUGGAUGGUUAAGUCAGUUGUGAAAGUUUGCGGCUCAACCGUAAAAUUGCAGUUGAAACUGGCAGGCUUGAGUACAGUAGAGGUGGGCGGAAUUCGUGGUGUAGCGGUGAAAUGCUUAGAUAUCACGAAGAACUCCGAUUGCGAAGGCAGCUCACUGGACUGCAACUGACACUGAGGCUCGAAAGUGUGGGUAUCAAACAGGAUUAGAUACCCCUGUAGUC